Molecule: ribosomal RNA, 500 nt
Filed under: uncultured bacterium
Lineage: Bacteria
Description: bacterial SSU rRNA
Rfam family: Bacterial small subunit ribosomal RNA
Source: RNAcentral
AGAGUUUGAUCAUGGCUCAGAUUGAACGCUGGCGGAAUGCUUUACACAUGCAAGUCGAACGGCAGCACGGACUUCGGUCUGGUGGCGAGUGGCGAACGGGUGAGUAACAUAUCGGAACGUAUCCAAUAAUGGGGGAUAACUAAUCGAAAGGUUGGCUAAUACCGCAUACGCCCUACGGGGGAAAGCUAGGGACCUUCGGGCCUGGCGUUAAUGGAGCGGCCGAUAUCUGAUUAGCUAGUUGGUGGGGUAAAGGCCCACCAAGGCGACGAUCAGUAGCUGGUCUGAGAGGACGACCAGCCACACUGGAACUGAGACACGGUCCAGACUCCUACGGGAGGCAGCAGUGGGGAAUUUUGGACAAUGGGCGCAAGCCUGAUCCAGCCAUGCCGCGUGAGUGAAGAAGGCCUUCGGGUUGUAAAGCUCUUUCGCAAGGGAAGAAACGAUGUAAGUGAAUAGCUUAUGUUAAUGACGGUACCUUGAUAAGAAGCACCGGCUAACUA